UGCUCCCUUUUCAUCACAGCCCUGAUAAUGAAUUGCAGUGUACAAAGCCGGUCAUACAAUACGCAGCAGCGGCAGCGCGGAGCGAGAAUCUUUGGGAAGAGUUUCCAUAGAAACAUUGACGUCCUCCUGGCGAACAGGACACCGAGUUCCUUCAAUGGGAGAUAAAGAGGUGGGCCUCGAGGAUUGUCCAAUCCCCCCACGGACUGUGGCUUCUCCAUGCCGUGUCAUGUCUUUGGCCCCGUGGUUCCACGGGGCUCAUCUGCAACAGGCUUUUUCUCUGCAAAAAGGCUGCUCAUGGUCCUGAUGACGUGGAUAUGCAAUCACUGACCCUCCAAAACCCCAGGGAGAACCAUUUCAAGGAGGGCCUGAGCUAAAUACAGGCUCUCUACGACUGCAGCCUUGCUGGUGGCCGGCAGAGUCCCCCAGAGGAGACGACAGAGCUGAUACUGCAGAACUAACUGACAUUAAACUGGCAGAAUCCCAGCGCAAAGGUGAACUCGAGGAAAAAAUUAUAUUGGAUUUUAAUAAAACUUUCCUCAAAGGUCAACCUCUCUAAGCUGCCUUCUGUGUCUUGCUCAGGACUCCAGCAACUUCUGCCAGGUAAGCUAUAACAUUAGUAGCAUUCCACUUAAGAGAGAGUGAUGUCCUUGUGAGCUCUAAGCUCCUUAGAUCAGUCUAGGAGGAUCAGUCCGUUUGAGUGAUGUUGGCCCAGCAAAAUAACAUGAAUAUAUUAUAUAUAUAUAUUUAGGGUUUGGGUUUUUUUUUUAGAAGACUCACUAAUAUCUAUGAAAGUACCGUCUUAGGAGGGUUUCUUUCAGCUUCAUAAAGCCAUAGAUACUCAGAUCUGGAAACUGCUCUUCAAUCCAUGGCAUACAAGCUCCAGCUCUUGAUGGCCAAGUUUCUAAAAUCUUGGCAUCACUGGAGCCACUAACAUCACACACUGUAACAGCAGAGCAAUUUCUGUUGCUGGUGUUUGGAUUUGCCUGGCCAGCUGAUCUGUGGGGCAGGCCAGACCCAGAGCAUCCCAUGGGAAUUGGUACCAGGGCUUUCAGGGCUCCCAAGGUCGGAUGAACGAUGCAGGGCUGUUCUCACGGUCCCAGCCCAUCACUACUGUACCCUCUGUUCUCCCCCUUUUACUGCAAUACUUCCCUCCCUGCACUUCAAGGGCUGUUGCUCCCUCUCUGUCAAGAUUCACUGUCCCUCUAUUCAGUCUGACAGACACUUACCCAACCGCCAGGUCCUCCUUCCUCCAUCCCUUCCCUGCACAUCUCCCCAGACACUAAUCUCAUUCCUCAGCCCCCUGAGCUACACAGGCACAAGCCUGGGCACAGAGUCUCUGACUAUGGCUGUUUGCCCCGGGGGUAGGAAUCUGCACACCCGGAGUUAUCCCACACAUCCUGCCUUGUGCGCUCACUUGGCAGCUCAAGCUGUGGCAGCAGCCCCUGUCCUUCAGCCACUCUCCCUCAGAGGGAACUAUGUGCCCCUUCACAGCAUCAGAAACGAGUUGGGGCUCUCCUAGAAGAUGACCUGGCUGUUCUGGCUGAAUUCUGUUCUUGGUUAUUCUUUACUCCAUCAAAACAAUGUUACUUGCAAGGUAAUUUCGUGGCUUCCCAUCUCAAAAAACCUUUGUGGUCAGAGAGCUCCUGAUGCUGGGCAACACCUGAUAGGUCCAGACACCCUCUAUAAUCUGUAUUUAUGGAAAAACCACUGCUUAAGCUGCUAAAGGGAAAUGUAAGAGAAUCUACACUACAUUUCAAACUCACUGCUAAGAUAUAUGCUGGAGAGCAGCCAGGCCUGGUUGCUCACACUGAUAGAUGGUGGGGAAAAGGAACACGCGUUAAAAUCAGCAAAUGGAUAAAACUGGGCUAAAGAGAGAUGAAUACAAUGGGGAAAGCUUUCCAUUUUUCAAAAUCAAAGCUCAGGCUCCCACGCUAAAGGAAGAAUUGUGUUCCCAAAUAGGAAAAUGUUAAAAGAGAGACUGUACUAUUUUCAGGAAUGUAUGAUACAAAGCUUCAUGUCCACUGUCAGGAUAAAUCUUAUCUAUUCUGUACAGCAACAUUCAGUUAGCAGAGAAGAGGAUUCUAUGAAAAGGACAAAGAUGGGUGGUGGAAAUUCUGAGCCUUUCUUCCUACUGCUCUUAAAUUCUUGUCCUCGUUGACAUAAUUAGCAAAAAUGUUCUGAGAUAUAUUUAAUUCCUUUUAACAACUUUUAAGAUUAACAAACCGUAUUUUGGUUUCAGAUACUGUGUUGAUCAAUAAAUGCUGCUGAUUUAGAUUUUUAAAGAGCACUAGCAAUUAUUUGAGGAACCAAAUUUAGAUUUCUUUAGUAGAAAAGAAGGUUCCUUUGUUGAGACUAUGUAGUAUCUGCAAGGUCUUGUGGUAAGUAGUUUUACAAUACAGAGAUUUUGGCUCUAGAGAUUAUUCUGCAGAGACUCAGACCAUGGAAAUUGUAGUUCAGUUGCUGUCUGCCGGCCAACAUUGCAGGAUCUGGCUAUGAACAGGGCAUGAGAUCAAGCCCUUCUCAUUUAAUAUAGAUUAAGAAAGUCUUCUUACUUCUAAUCUCACUCCUGCCUCCUGCCCUGCUCUGAAAUACUCAUGGUGAUUUGCUCUGCUGGGGAAAAAACUUGUCAAGGUCUGUCAGGAAAGAUGAGAAUAUAUAUUUUUUCUUUUCUUUUAAGAUUAAUCUUCCAGUUGAAUAGAAUUGGCAACUUGAGUAAAAUUUUGCUACUGGAGUUAUUUUGUAUUGAUUGCAUUUUUAAAGAUUUUUCUAGCAGGGAGAGGCAGACAUUUUGUUAUUGCUAUGUAUUAAUCAAAAAGACUGAAAAAUACUGCAGGCCCUACUCUGACCCUUGUGGAUCAAAAAGGCAGCCGAGGUUUUAAGAAUACAAAUUAUCCCGGAUUAAACUCUGGGUUUAGGUGUUAAUAAUUUAACACUACUACAGUUUGGCCACCUACUUGUGAUGUGCUAUAUGUGGAUCGCUGCAGUUUAAAAGCAGGUUUUUUUCAGACAAACAAGGAUAAAUUGAAACUUCGAAUGGGCCACUAGAAGCGGGCUUGACUCUUGCAGACCUGAAGAGGUUAUUCUUAGGGUAAUUACCUGUCUUUAACAUUCAGAAUUAUAGAAUGGUUUGGGGUGGAAGGGACCCUAAAGAUGAUCUAGUUCCAUUUAAUAUCGGAUUUCCUUGAUAGCGUGGACUGCACGAGAAGCUGCCUUUCCUUAAGUCACAGAAAAGCCACAGUUUUUACAGCUUUAAAGGAUCCCACGGCUGCCUUGAUUACCAAUGUCUUGGCUCUGUACAUUUAAUUCAGCUCCUAAUGCUUCUCAUGUAGUGCUAAAGCCAUUUAAAAGAAAGUCUCUGCUUUUACAACCCCGCUUUUUUUAGCAGCUCAGCAGCAGUUACCGGGUUUGUAAAGCUCCUUACGGAAUCUCACCUGAAAACACUGAUCUGCGGCACUGUGCAGUUUUUCCCACUUCAAAGGGAAAUCUGCUGCUGCCACCCCAGAACUGAGCACAGCGAGACACCGAACUGUCACUGGGGGCUGAUGUCACCUCCCAAGGUGUGUUUGUUGUACCAGGGAGACUUCUGAGCGCUAAUGUCAGAAAAAACAAAACAAAACAACCACCUCUAUUUGUCUUUUCGCCUUCUCUGUUUAGGGAGUUGUUUCACGUUGUCUCUUUUUGUUCAAAACAAAUACCCAGGGCUCUCACUCAGAUUCCCAGUGAUGCUACAGCAGUUCCCAGUAGUCUCCCAGUUGCUAAUGCUUGUAAUUUUAUAAUGUUCAUACUUUAUUUUCCAUUCGGGGUGCACAGUGACGACAGGUGACUCAGUUUUCACCAAAGGCAUGUGCAACCCCUUAUGGUUAAAAAUGGGUGAGAAAUGGGGGGGGAGGGGGGAAAUCGUAAAUAUUUUUAGUCUUAAUCAAGAUCUUCAAGCUGUUUGCAAUACUGCAAUCCCAGUAGCAUCAACAUUGAUAUGUCUGAAUAAAUCUAUGUGUUUUACAAUGAA
This is a long non-coding RNA of Pipra filicauda (Wire-tailed manakin), 4006 nucleotides long. RefSeq lists it as uncharacterized. The record is from RefSeq and is a predicted model, not a curated record. Lineage: Eukaryota; Metazoa; Chordata; Aves; Passeriformes; Pipridae. The transcript is spliced from 4 exons.